UCGAGAGGCUUUGGCAAUGGGGGAAACCCUGACCAAGCGACGCCGCGUGGGGGAUGAAGGCUCUUGGGUUGUAAACCCCUUUUGUCGGGGAAGAAAUCCGAUCAGGUGAACAAUCUGGUCGAUUGACGGUACCCGACGAAUAAGCUCCGGCUAACUCCGUGCCAGCAGCCGCGGUAACACGGGGGGAGCAAGCGUUGUUCGGAAUCACUGGGCGUAAAGGGCGUGUAGGCGGCUCGGUAAGUGGAAUGUGAAAUGCCCCGGCUCACCCGGGGACCUGCAUCCCAAACUGCCGGGCUUGAGUAUGGGAGAGGAUGAGGGAAUUCCUGGUGUAGCGGUGAAAUGCGUAGAGAUCCGGAGGAACCCCAGAGGCGAAAGCGGCGUCCUGGCUCGCAACUGACGUUCAGACACGACAGCAUGGGGAGCAAACGGGAUUAGAUACCCUUGUAGUCCCUGAGCGGGCUGGCAAGGCGCAU
Molecule: ribosomal RNA, 473 nt
Filed under: uncultured bacterium
Lineage: Bacteria
Description: bacterial SSU rRNA
Rfam family: Bacterial small subunit ribosomal RNA
Source: RNAcentral